GCAGUCUUGGACCCUGCACUCCCACCACCUCUACCCUUUCACCAGCCAUGGCACCCUGUUUACUCCAGAACAAAUCUGGGUCUGAAGAAUUCUAAGAGUGGGAGAAGGGGUCUGGCCCCCAGAACUCUAUGCUUCAUUUGCAAUUUUAACGCUCUUUAGCAUGACUUAAUAUUAAUAGUGGUCCGUUGUUGAAAGUGAGACUGUGUGUUCAAGGGCGGGGACUGUGCUUGUAGCUCCUCCAUCCUUGUAGCUCUCGCACAUAGCUCAGUGCAGUGCACAUAGUAGGUGCUCAAGAGAUACAAGUUGACCAGAUGAGCACAUUAUCUUACUGAAUUCUCACCAGAACUUUCUGAGGUACCUCUUAUUAUCAUUCCCAUUCUGAACAGGAGGCAGCCGGGGCUUAGUUGGGUUAAAUAAUUUGCCCCAGCUUACCCAGCUGGUGAGGAGUAGAGCUGGUGUUCUAGUCAGUUCUGACUGACUUCAAGGGCAGGCUCCCAGCCCGCUCACUCAACUGCGGACUCAGACAGCACCAACUGAGCAGAGGGUGGGGCUUGCAUCUCCAUCUUGGUAGUGAUUCUCUUAUAGAAGAAUUUUCAUAACCCUGAAAAUCUUUAUAUACAUUUCUUUUUUUUUAAAAAAAAAGAAAUUUAUUUUUCCUUUUGCUCCCCAAAGCCCCCCCGGCACAUAGUUGCCGGCACAUAGUUUUAGUUGUGGGUCCCUCCAGUUGCGGCAUGUGCGACACCACCUCAGCCUGGCUUGAUGAGUAGUGCCAUAUCUGUGCCCAGGAUUCAAACCGGUGAAACCCCAGGCUGCCAAAGCAGAGCCUGCAAACUUAACUACUCGGCCACGGGGCCAGCCCCAAUAUAUACAUUUCUUUGUAUCCUUUAUAUUUUUUCUUCCAGGUUAAGCCAACACUUAAUGCCAUACAAAAUUGAAGUUUGCGGAAUUCAAAGAAAAGGUAGAAUAAAAAUUGCAAAAUGAUAUGGUGUCAUUCUCAUAAUCCAGAGAUAAUUUAUAAUCAUGAUGCCUCCUUUUAUUUGAAGAAUUAGAAGUGAUUUUAUGAGAAUAAAUUUGUAUAGGUUUGCAAUUUCACGCUUGAAGUAAGCUGCAAAGAUAUCCAUGUGUUCCAGGCUGCUGUGGGGAGGCAAGGAAGAAGGAAUCGUUAUUAGGUUUUAGCUUGAAAUCUGAGGCAGAACAAUGCCAUUUCUCAUGGAAAAUUUUUAAUACUUAUAAUCUGAAGCUGCAUAACCAUAUUUCCUUAAUGGUGAAUGUGUCAGAGUAGAAACCAAGACAAUGUGGUAAAAAUAAAAGACUUUUUUCCUUUCUAAAAUUGUUUUUGUUUUUCCUGAGCUGCUGCUUUUACGAGCCGUGUGGGUAGGGAAUGCAUGGGUCACCGUCCACUGCCGGAGAAAUCUUUCUUGGCCCAAGAGGUGGCAGCAAAGGCUGGGGUUUCCACCUCCCACUCAGGGACUCUCCCAUCUUGAUCCAGGCUCAGGCAAGAGGCACAGACUUAUUACCACUCUCAUCAUUCCUGUCUGUCGGAAGGCAGAGGAUGUGGGGGCAGGGGGGUUCCUGGAAGAGAGCAGCCGCCCCACCCUUGUCGACUUGCAUCAUGUUGGUUCUGAGGAAAAGGCGAAUGUUUUUUGAGGUGACCUCACCACCUCACCUAAGGCUGAGGCUGGGACUGACGUGUCGACGAGCGACCUAAAGCCUCGAGGACGAGAAGGAAAGGCAAGGUCCCAGCUCACCCACGUGUUGGGUGACACUUUCAAGGACACAAUUACCCCAGCCUCAGCCAGAGGAGGCGAGCGUGUAGAACUGUGAGGAUGGACAACUGAAAACCAAAACUCAGCAGGACCAAACCAAAACUCCACUCCUGUGGUUCUUACUUUCACCACAGGAUUGAUUCUGACCAAGAAGGGAAGGAGAACAAUCUUCAAAAUCAAAGAGUCAGAAAGGGAGAAACUCAACCUUCUGCACAAAGGGGUAAUCAGUUCUCCAAAGCAGAACAAUUCUCAUUGGACACAGCGGUUGCAGGAAAAAACCAUCUGAUUCGUUUAUACGAUUAAACCAUCUGAUUCACCUAUGCAUAAGAAGGAAACAGACACGUGCUGUUCUGACCUUACAACCACAUCCGCUCUGCACAUUCCCGCUCCUUGCCUCACUCUCAUGGAUUAAUGGGGGGCUGAUGGAUCUGAAAGGUGUGGGUGAAUUGGAACAGGGACCUCUGAGUGAAAAAUACUUCUAGGGGAAGGAGAGCACCAUUUAAAAAACAAAAUAAAACAGAGAUCAGGGGCGAUCCUGGUGGCGUAAUGGUUAAGUUCACAGCCUCCCCUUCAGCGCCAGGGGUUCUGGGUUUGGAUCCAGCACGGACUUACACACUUCUCAUCAAGCCAUGCUGUGGGGGCAUCCCACAUACAAAAUAGAGGAGGAUUGGCACAGAUGUUAGCUCAUGGACAAUCUUCCUCAAGCAAAAAAGGGGAAGAUUGGCAACAGAUGUUAGCUCAGGGCCAAUCUUCCUCACCAAAAAAUAAAAUAAAAUAAAAUAAAAAAUAGCAC
RNAcentral lists this long non-coding RNA (2559 nucleotides) under Equus caballus (horse). Its description in RNAcentral is "lncRNA (ENSECAG00000052274.1)". The record is from RNAcentral. Lineage: Eukaryota; Metazoa; Chordata; Mammalia; Perissodactyla; Equidae.